RNAcentral lists this ribosomal RNA (253 nucleotides) under uncultured bacterium. Its description in RNAcentral is "partial 16S ribosomal RNA". It matches the Rfam family "Bacterial small subunit ribosomal RNA", at positions 524 to 776 of the family's 1533-position model. The record is from RNAcentral.
UACGGAGGGUGCAAGCGUUAUCCGGAUUCACUGGGUUUAAAGGGUGCGUAGGCGGGCAGGUAAGUCCGUGGUGAAAUCUCUGAGCUUAACUCAGAAACUGCCAUGGAUACUAUUUGUCUUGAAUAUUGUGGAGGUAAGCGGAAUAUGUCAUGUAGCGGUGAAAUGCUUAGAUAUGACAUAGAACACCAAUUGCGAAGGCAGCUUACUACACAGUUAUUGACGCUGAGGCACGAAAGCGUGGGGAGCAAACGGG